Non-coding RNA from Anas platyrhynchos (mallard), 3451 nucleotides. NCBI's taxonomy places the organism in Eukaryota, Metazoa, Chordata, Aves, Anseriformes, Anatidae. The record is from RefSeq and is a predicted model, not a curated record.
ACCUCUUUUCCAAGCUAAUUGCGGAGCGUGUUCCCUGCAGUGGCAGCCUGAGCCUGACUCCAGUCUCACACCAAUAAAACCUCGGUACCAACCUGGGUCAGGAGCCCAGCCCCUGGGAAGAGGGAAUUUAGGGAAGGGGGAAACAAGCUGGGGUUUCCCCCAGGGGAUGCGGUGCAGCAGCGAGGUGAGGCAGCAGCCCACCGGUGGCUGCAGGAUGGCUGCUGGGUGGCUGGGAGACCAGAGGGGCCAUUACUGGGGCUGUGAAUAAUUUUAGGGGGAUGUUAUCAAAAAUGGGAUGUGCCUAUGGUAAGGGGAAGCAUCGAGCCCACCGUAGCCGGAAUCAUGGGUUUGGUAUUGAAUUUUGGUUGUGUUGUUGUAAAAUGAAGCUUGGGGGGUUGCCUGUAGGAACCUAAGGGUACCCAAACGGGUCAGUCAUACCCAAGCCGCUUCAAAAGGUUGUUUCUGCCAUUUGGCCUCCAGUGACGGGGGUCACACCACAACACCCCUCACCCGGGCGCUCCCGUGAGUCACCCUCCUGCCAGCAACGAGGACUUUUCCAACAGGGGGCCCACGGAAAGGCCGUGUUUGUGUCGUUCAGCAAGGUCACUCAACCCCCAGCCAUGAGCACGACUCCAAGGCCUUCUGCAGAAGACAUCCGUGAGAACAGGCUUUCCAGUGCAAUGAAAGCCCAGGACAGUCUCCAGGACUCCUCAGAGGAGCAGCCUCCCAUGUGAGUUUGUAAUCUACCCAGGAACUCCUCAGCUCAUCCACCUCAGUGUGGCUUCCUCGGAGCAAACCCAAGACAACACUUCCUAUGCCUCGAAUGCCUGGCUUCCCUUCUAUUACAAUACGUGAAGCAGCACAGCAUUUUAUAGAGACAUAAAAGCUUGUACGGGGCACGACACCCUCGUCAGAAGUAAUCUGCCUUUCAGUGAAUGGCCUUACUUCCAUACUCAGAUAAUUUGCCCCCAGAUAAUUUUUUUUUUUCUCUGUAGCUGGAAAUAUAACACUCCAUUUGUUCCCUUAGGAGAACGGUGUGAGAAAAAAAAAAAAAAAAAAAAGCUAUCAGUGAGCAAAUAUUUGGUGGCAAAGUCAAAUGAAUGAUGUUCUUUUGAGAUAAAUUCUCUUUCCUUACAGCUGAGUAGACAGAGAUUAAGAUAUACGAAUCCGGGCUCCUUGCCAAUUCCUCCCCAUCUGCUGUCAGGAACAAAUGCUUCGUUAUUUGGCUCAGUGCGGUAGCAAAGAGCAGCGGAGAGGGCAGUGGGCCAUGGCCAUGCCCUCUCGUUGGUGUUUCUCCACCCACAGAAGCUGCUUUUUCCUGAAACUUCCAGCCCCAAUGCUCCGUGUUAGUGACAGGGAGAGGGCCAGGGCUGGCUUGCCAGCAGCGGUGCAUAAAGAGAGCACCAUUCAGGGAAGAACGUGUGGAUAGAAGAGAAAUGGAGGAAGAUGGAUACGUGAGGCUUGUGAAAAACAAAGAUGAAAUCUGAGAGAAGCUGCAAACAAUCAACACAAUGGCAGCCACCAGCACAAGAUACAGGACUUGCUACAACCCAAAUUUAUCACACAACUCAGAGCAAUGAGUGCAUGGGUUGCGUACUCAGCUGCAUGCAUUUUUCAUUCAGCCUGAUCCCACAAACAUACAGAUGUCCUUUAUUAAGUCUUUCCCACCGCAUCAGAGGUGCUGAGGCACUAGCGGACUCAUCUGUGGAUUGUCUGUAAUCACUUCCAGAUUCCCAAAUCUUGGCAGGCCGAGCUACCAGGGGUUGCUCUUCUUUUGGCUUGCAAAGCUCCUGGAGCAUACAGUGUGCUCCAGUCACAAACACAGCACUCAGAGGCACCGUGGUCCACGUGAACCCACAGACUGGGUGCACUGUCAGCCUACCAGACUACCCUUCUACACCCAUUCAUCUACGUGAAGAGGGAACUGUAUAAAAUUCUCAUCCAUGAUGAAAAAGCAUCCUCAAACAUACCAUACGUAUCCAGUUUGGGUAUCUCUGAAUACAGCACGGCAGGCGCCAGCAUUGUAUAACGCCAGAAUAAUAACCACACCUUCCACACUUAAAUUUUCUACUGUUUUAAUUCUAUUUUUAAUUCAAGUAUUCUGCACAUUGCAAAGCCACUCUAGUAGGAGACCACUUAAUCUGCAAAAAAAGCUGACUUGUGAGAAUCUUGUCCCUGGCAGAUUUGGGGUUGUGCUGCCUUUCUUCGUCAUGGUGGCACUGCACCAUAUUUCUUCGUGUUCAAAUCUAAACAUGGAAAACAAAAAGAUCUCUUCCUGAGCAGUCCAAAGCAAGCAUUACAGACCUACCCGCCACGUGGGAGUGUUUACAGAUGAUUUUCCUGGUAAGAAUCUCAUGGCUGAGGUUUGCCUUGUUAGCAAAAUAACACCUCAAGUGAGAUUCUUUUCUCGACAGCCACUAUUUUCAGCUCCUACACGUCUGCAUGCUGAUGGUGUGUGUGCAGUGUACCGCGAUUUCCAGAGAAAAGGUCACUGAGAACACCUUUAUCUUUUUGCCAAAACUUUCUGAGCAUUUGUGUCUCUUCCCUAUGUAAAUUACACGCACUGAUAUUUUCACAUCUGAGCAACCGUCCUCCCACCAGUCUUAAACCGAAGCAGCAAUGUUGUGUUUAUCUGUAAUUCACAUAACCUUACUGGCUUUGGUGGGUAUGGAAGAUAUGAAUCAGGAUGUAAUCUGAAAUUUCCAGAUUCCUCGGAUUUAUAACGUAUUUGUUACAAACAAUAACAGAGAUGAUAACUCCCCUGGCUGACGUUUUAUAUCAAUUUUUGACGUCCUAAUCCCACUGAUUGUUAUUUUAAUUAAAUCUUAGAGUAGCCUCCAUUUUGUUACUGAUUGGGACGUAUUGAUAAAAAUACUAAAAGCAUGUGAAAUAAUGCCUGCGCCAAGUUCCGAAAGGAGAUCUUACACAAAAGUGAAUAGGAAGACCACCCACUCCCGGUGCUCCCCUUCCCCUGAGUCAUUUCAGCACUCCCAGCUUUGCAAAGGGCAGCGGCGGCACCUAUGAAAGAGCUUUGGCUGCAAACAAGGGCAAAUAACAUUAUUAAACCAGUCUGUGGGUGUGAGCUGACAAAACUACAUAUUGCAGAGUCCCUACAGUCUACCCAUUAUAACAUUGCACCUCGUGAUUUUUUUUCAUCCUUCAAAUUUCGAUACUCAGAUGCCCUUUAGAAAGCAAAAGGACUUCUUUGUCGGAGCAGUUGCAGUUUAUUUUUUUUUUAAACUUUGGACCAUUCUGAUAUUCUCAGAGUUAAAAAAAAAAAAAAAAAAAAAAAAAAAAAUCUACUCUGUUUUGUGCUGUCCUCCCUCUCCACCCCUCUUUCUUCCUCUUCUGUCUUCCACACGCUUGCCCGAUCCCUUGCUUCCUCUUUCCGACCUCACAGCAGUUUAAUGAAGAACGCGUUUCCCCGGUGCGCCCAUAAGGGCAUCACGUG